This 260-nucleotide long non-coding RNA is filed under the name Lathyrus oleraceus (garden pea). RNAcentral's name for it is "Pisum sativum (pea) long non-coding RNA (PSAT_LNC006733)". Lineage: Eukaryota; Viridiplantae; Streptophyta; Magnoliopsida; Fabales; Fabaceae. The record is from RNAcentral.
GAGUAUCCACAAUUUGAUUUUUGAUUUAUGUUUGUCUUAUCGUGCGUGUUCAUGUGAAAUACUCCAUACUUAGAGGAAAUAAACGGAUAAUGAGUAUGGAGAAGGCAACAAUGACCUGAGUUUAAGUGGAAUCCAUGUUUGAUUCCACCCAAAAACUCGAGUUGUAGAGGUCGGAUUUCUGAAAAUCCCAAGGUUGAAGAUGAUGUUCAUACGUUACUUCGCGUGUGUUUUUUGUGUUCUAAAUUCAAAAAUUUGUGUUG